UAAGGGAUAUUGCGACAAUGGGCGAAAGCCUGACGCAGCAACGCCGCGUGUGGGAUGACGGCCUUCGGGUUGUAAACCACUUUUCUGGGGGAAGAGGAAGGACGGUACCCCAGGAAUAAGUCUCGGCUAACUACGUGCCAGCAGCCGCGGUAAAACGUAGGAGGCGAACGUUAUCCGGAUUUACUGGGUGUAAAGCGCGUGCAGGCGGUGAUGUAAGUCGUGUGUGAAAGCGCCCAGGCUCAACCGGGCGAGGACGGACGAAACUGCAUCACUAGAGGCAGGUAGAGGCGUGCGGAAUUCCGGGUGUAGUGGUGAAAUGCGUAGAUAUCCGGAGGAACACCAGUGGCGAAGGCGGCACGCUGGGCCUGACCUGACGCUAAGACGCGAAAGCAUGGGUAGCGAACGGGAUUAGAAACCCCGGUAGUCCAUGCCGUAAACGAUGCGUACUAGGUGUUGCGGUGUCAAACUGCAGUGCCGAAGCAAACGUGAUAAGUACGCCACCUGGGGACUA
RNAcentral lists this ribosomal RNA (511 nucleotides) under uncultured Chloroflexota bacterium. Its description in RNAcentral is "bacterial SSU rRNA". It matches the Rfam family "Bacterial small subunit ribosomal RNA", at positions 355 to 882 of the family's 1533-position model. The record is from RNAcentral. Lineage: Bacteria; Bacillati; Chloroflexota.